RNAcentral lists this ribosomal RNA (437 nucleotides) under uncultured bacterium. RNAcentral's name for it is "bacterial SSU rRNA". It matches the Rfam family "Bacterial small subunit ribosomal RNA", at positions 43 to 473 of the family's 1533-position model. The record is from RNAcentral.
UCAGGCCUAACACAUGCAAGUCGAACGGCAGCACGGGUGCUUGCACCUGGUGGCGAGUGGCGAACGGGUGAGUAAUACAUCGGAACGUACCUUAUCGUGGGGGAUAACGCAGCGAAAGUUGCGCUAAUACCGCAUACGCCCUGAGGGGGAAAGCGGGGGACCGUAAGGCCUCGCGCGAUUAGAGCGGCCGAUGUCUGAUUAGCUUGUUGGUGAGGUAAAAGCUCACCAAGGCGAUGAUCAGUAGCUGGUCUGAGAGGACGAUCAGCCACACUGGGACUGAGACACGGCCCAGACUCCUACGGGAGGCAGCAGUGGGGAAUUUUGGACAAUGGGGGCAACCCUGAUCCAGAAAGGCCGCGUGAGUGAAGAAGGCCUUCGGGUUGUAAAGAAAGUUUGUCAGGGAAGAAACAGCAGCUCUAACACAGUUUGCGAAUGAC